GGGCGCUGUGGGCGGUGAUCCUUCUGAUUCCCAAGCUGAAUACGCGGGUUCGAUUCCCGUCAUCCGCUCU
This 70-nucleotide transfer RNA is filed under the name Kibdelosporangium phytohabitans. RNAcentral's name for it is "tRNA-Gly". Lineage: Bacteria; Bacillati; Actinomycetota; Actinomycetes; Pseudonocardiales; Pseudonocardiaceae. The record is from RNAcentral.